RNAcentral lists this ribosomal RNA (491 nucleotides) under uncultured bacterium. Its description in RNAcentral is "bacterial SSU rRNA". It matches the Rfam family "Bacterial small subunit ribosomal RNA", at positions 903 to 1397 of the family's 1533-position model. The record is from RNAcentral.
AAAGGAAUUGACGGGGGCCCGCACAAGCGGUGGAGUAUGUGGUUUAAUUCGAAGCAACGCGAAGAACCUUACCAGGGCUUGACAUCCCUUGUCGCCUCAGAAAUGAGGUUUCCCUUCGGGGCAAGGAGACAGGUGGUGCAUGGUUGUCGUCAGCUCGUGUCGUGAGAUGUUGGGUUAAGUCCCGCAACGAGCGCAACCCCUACACUGUGUUGCCAUCACUUUGGGUGGGCACUCACAGAGGACUGCCGGUGACAAACCGGAGGAAGGUGGGGAUGACGUCAAAUCAUCAUGCCCCUUAUGUCCUGGGCUACACACGUACUACAAUGGCCGGUACAGACGGAAGCGAACUCGCGAGGGGGAGCGAAUCCGAGAAAGCCGGUCUCAGUUCGGAUUGCAGGCUGCAACUCGCCUGCAUGAAGGCGGAAUCGCUAGUAAUCGCAGGUCAGCAUACUGCGGUGAAUACGUUCCCGGGCCUUGUACACACCGCCCGU